CUGCUAGAAAUUGCAAGCGACAGUAGCCUCAAAAGUGGUUUUCUUCAUUGACAGUAACCAAAUGAGAUUAUAGAGGAGACCAGACAUGUGCAGCACACUCAGAGUUGCUGUCUCUACAGAUGGAACUGUCAAGUUUCAAGAAAACAAGUUAGAGGCUGCCAUUAAUUCUCCAUUAUGUGUCCUUUCAGGAGCAUUUUGAGUGGAAGACUAACAAAAAGUUCAAAAAUCAGUGAAGGAAACAAUGACAAAAGAAGAAUGAGCUGUCCAAGGAAUGGCACACUUGGGUCAAAUUUCUUGCAUUAAGACCGCUCUUGCUCAUCUGGGAAUUCAACGGGAGAUCACAAGAAAAAGGAAUCGGUUUUGUUCAUCAGUCACACUUGUUGCAAAUCAGCAUGAACCUCACCUGACUUAGAGAGGGGAAGGGUCCCAUCCAGUCUACACAACUCUCAAGUGGUCAUUAUGGAUGGAGACACAGAUAAGUUCGCAC
This 487-nucleotide long non-coding RNA is filed under the name Heterocephalus glaber (naked mole-rat). Its description in RNAcentral is "lncRNA (ENSHGLG00100044201.1)". The record is from RNAcentral. Lineage: Eukaryota; Metazoa; Chordata; Mammalia; Rodentia; Bathyergidae.